Long non-coding RNA from Nanorana parkeri, 152 nucleotides. RefSeq lists it as uncharacterized. The transcript is spliced from 3 exons. The record is from RefSeq and is a predicted model, not a curated record. NCBI's taxonomy places the organism in Eukaryota, Metazoa, Chordata, Amphibia, Anura, Dicroglossidae.
GGAGGUUACAAGAGAGCUGGAGAGCAGGAGAUCUUGGGAAGAGUGAAGAGGGCAGUUUGGGUGACAUUUUGACAUGAGGUGGGUGAUGUAGGUUGGGGCGGAGUUGUAGAUGGCUUUGUAGGUUAUUGUUAGAAUUGUAGGUUUGAUAGGUU